This 808-nucleotide ribosomal RNA is filed under the name Kocuria sp. Its description in RNAcentral is "bacterial SSU rRNA". It matches the Rfam family "Bacterial small subunit ribosomal RNA", at positions 23 to 845 of the family's 1533-position model. The record is from RNAcentral. Lineage: Bacteria; Bacillati; Actinomycetota; Actinomycetes; Micrococcales; Micrococcaceae.
CUCAGGACGAACGCUGGCGGCGUGCUUAACACAUGCAAGUCGAACGCUGAAGCUUGGUGCUUGCACUGGGUGGAUGAGUGGCGAACGGGUGAGUAAUACGUGAGUAACCUGCCCUUGACUCUGGGAUAAGCCUGGGAAACUGGGUCUAAUACUGGAUACGACAUGUCACCGCAUGGUGGUGUGUGGAAAGGGUUUUACUGGUUUUGGAUGGGCUCACGGCCUAUCAGCUUGUUGGUGGGGUAAUGGCUCACCAAGGCGACGACGGGUAGCCGGCCUGAGAGGGUGACCGGCCACACUGGGACUGAGACACGGCCCAGACUCCUACGGGAGGCAGCAGUGGGGAAUAUUGCACAAUGGGCGAAAGCCUGAUGCAGCGACGCCGCGUGAGGGAUGACGGCCUUCGGGUUGUAAACCUCUUUCAGCACGGAAGAAGCGAAAGUGACGGUACGUGCAGAAGAAGCGCCGGCUAACUACGUGCCAGCAGCCGCGGUAAUACGUAGGGCGCAAGCGUUGUCCGGAAUUAUUGGGCGUAAAGAGCUCGUAGGCGGUUUGUCGCGUCUGCUGUGAAAGCCCGGGGCUUAACCCCGGGUGUGCAGUGGGUACGGGCAGACUUGAGUGCAGUAGGGGAGACUGGAAUUCCUGGUGUAGCGGUGAAAUGCGCAGAUAUCAGGAGGAACACCGAUGGCGAAGGCAGGUCUCUGGGCUGUUACUGACGCUGAGGAGCGAAAGCAUGGGGAGCGAACAGGAUUAGAUACCCUGGUAGUCCAUGCCGUAAACGUUGGGCACUAGGUGUGGGGAACAUUCCACG